GUCGUAGUAUAGUGGUGAGUAUCCCGCCUGUCACGCGGGAGACCCGGGUUCGAUCCCCGGCAACGGCG
This 68-nucleotide transfer RNA is filed under the name Ipomoea nil (Japanese morning glory). It matches the Rfam family "tRNA". From Rfam's summary of the family: Transfer RNA (tRNA) molecules are approximately 80 nucleotides in length. The record is from Rfam by way of RNAcentral. Lineage: Eukaryota; Viridiplantae; Streptophyta; Magnoliopsida; Solanales; Convolvulaceae.